UACAGAGGGUGCGAGCGUUGUCCGGAAUCACUGGGCGUAAAGGGCGCGUAGGUGGCUUGGUAAGCGUGUGGUGAAAGUCCGGGGCUCAACCCCGGAUCUGCCGUGCGAACUGCCGAGCUCGAGCAUUGUAGAGGCAGGUGGAAUUCCGGGUGUAGCGGUGGAAUGCGUAGAGAUCCGGAAGAACACCAGUGGCGAAGGCGGCCUGCUGGGCAAUUGCUGACACUGAGGCGCGACAGCGUGGGGAGCAAACAGGAUUAGAAACCCCUGUAGUCC
RNAcentral lists this ribosomal RNA (273 nucleotides) under uncultured bacterium. RNAcentral's name for it is "partial 16S ribosomal RNA". It matches the Rfam family "Bacterial small subunit ribosomal RNA", at positions 524 to 796 of the family's 1533-position model. The record is from RNAcentral.